RNAcentral lists this ribosomal RNA (462 nucleotides) under Escherichia coli. Its description in RNAcentral is "bacterial SSU rRNA". It matches the Rfam family "Bacterial small subunit ribosomal RNA", at positions 1 to 459 of the family's 1533-position model. The record is from RNAcentral. Lineage: Bacteria; Pseudomonadati; Pseudomonadota; Gammaproteobacteria; Enterobacterales; Enterobacteriaceae.
AAAUUGAAGAGUUUGAUCAUGGCUCAGAUUGAACGCUGGCGGCAGGCCUAACACAUGCAAGUCGAACGGUAACAGGAAGCAGCUUGCUGCUUUGCUGACGAGUGGCGGACGGGUGAGUAAUGUCUGGGAAACUGCCUGAUGGAGGGGGAUAACUACUGGAAACGGUAGCUAAUACCGCAUAACGUCGCAAGACCAAAGAGGGGGACCUUAGGGCCUCUUGCCAUCGGAUGUGCCCAGAUGGGAUUAGCUAGUAGGUGGGGUAAAGGCUCACCUAGGCGACGAUCCCUAGCUGGUCUGAGAGGAUGACCAGCCACACUGGAACUGAGACACGGUCCAGACUCCUACGGGAGGCAGCAGUGGGGAAUAUUGCACAAUGGGCGCAAGCCUGAUGCAGCCAUGCCGCGUGUAUGAAGAAGGCCUUCGGGUUGUAAAGUACUUUCAGCGGGGAGGAAGGGAGUAAAG